This 482-nucleotide ribosomal RNA is filed under the name uncultured bacterium. RNAcentral describes it as "partial 16S ribosomal RNA". It matches the Rfam family "Bacterial small subunit ribosomal RNA", at positions 30 to 507 of the family's 1533-position model. The record is from RNAcentral.
AUUGAACGCUGGCGGCAUGCUUUACACAUGCAAGUCGAACGGUAACAGGCCGCAAGGUGCUGACGAGUGGCAAACGGGUGAGUAAUGCAUCGGAACGUGCCCAGUCGUGGGGGAUAACUACUCGAAAGAGUAGCUAAUACCGCAUACGAUCUAUGGAUGACAUCGGGGGACCGUAAGGCCUCGCGCGAUUGGAGCGGCCGAUGUCAGAUUAGGUAGUUGGUGGGGUAAAGGCUCACCAAGCCAACGAUCUGUAGCUGGUCUGAGAGGACGACCAGCCACACUGGGACUGAGACACGGCCCAGACUCCUACGGGAGGCAGCAGUGGGGAAUUUUGGACAAUGGGCGCAAGCCUGAUCCAGCAAUGCCGCGUGCAGGAAGAGGGCCUUCGGGUUGUAAACUGCUUUUGUACGGAACGAAACGGCUCUGGUUAAUACCCGGGGCUAAUGACGGUACCGUAAGAAUAAGCACCGGCUAACUACGUG